RNAcentral lists this ribosomal RNA (460 nucleotides) under uncultured bacterium. RNAcentral describes it as "partial 16S ribosomal RNA". It matches the Rfam family "Bacterial small subunit ribosomal RNA", at positions 338 to 795 of the family's 1533-position model. The record is from RNAcentral.
CCUACGGGAGGCAGCAGUGAGGCAUAUUGGUCAAUGGGCGUAAGCCUGAACCAGCCAAGUCGCGUGAGGGAUGAAGGUUCUAUGGAUCGUAAACCUCUUUUAUAAGGGAAUAAAGUGCGGGACGUGUCCCGCUUUGUAUGUACCUUAUGAAUAAGGAUCGGCUAACCCCGUUCCAGCAGCCGCGGUAAUAUGGAGGGUCCGAGCGUUAUCCGGAUUUAUUGGGUUUAAAGGGUGCGUAGGCGGCCUGUUAAGUCAGUGGUGAAAGUCUGUGGCUCAACCGUAGAAUUGCCGUUGAAUGUGGGAGGCUUGAGUGUGUUUGAGGCAGGCGGAAUGCGUGGUGUAGCGGUGAAAUGCUUAGAUAUCACGCAGAACCUCAAUUGCGAAGGCAGCCAGCCAAGCCAUGACUGACGCUGAUGCACGAAAGCGUGGGGAUCAAACAGGAUUAGAUACCCCUGUAGUC